Molecule: transfer RNA, 61 nt
Filed under: Halice sp. JL-2018
Lineage: Eukaryota; Metazoa; Arthropoda; Malacostraca; Amphipoda; Pardaliscidae
Description: tRNA-Gly
Source: RNAcentral
AUUUCUUUAGUAUAAUAAGUACAGAUAGUUUCCAUUUAUAAAGUUAAAAGUUAAAGAAAUA